RNAcentral lists this ribosomal RNA (422 nucleotides) under uncultured bacterium. RNAcentral's name for it is "bacterial SSU rRNA". It matches the Rfam family "Bacterial small subunit ribosomal RNA", at positions 355 to 774 of the family's 1533-position model. The record is from RNAcentral.
UGAGGAAUAUUGGGCAAUGCCCGCAAGGGUGACCCAGCAACGCCGCGUGGAGGAUGAAUGUCGUAAGAUUGUAAACUCCUGUUAGAGGGGAAGAAUAGUACCGGUUGGACCGGUAUAUGACUGUACCCUCAGAGAAAGCCCCGGCUAACUACGUGCCAGCAGCCGCGGUAAUACGUAGGGGGCAAGCGUUGUCCGGAUUUACUGGGUGUAAAGGGCGCGCAGGCGGGAUAAAAAGUCAGUGGUGAAAUCCUACAGCUUAACUGUGGAACUGCCUUUGAUACUUUUAUUCUUGAGUUCGGGAGAGAGAGACGGAAUUCCAGGUGUAGUGGUGAAAUACGUAGAUAUCUGGAAGAACACCAGUUGCGAAGGCGGUCUCUUGGUCCGACACUGACGCUGAGGCGCGAAAGCGUGGGGAGCAAACA